AUGGUCGCAAGUUCAACUCCACAAGAGGGUACCAGUACAGCAGUGGAGCAGCCAAAACUGACCGGUUCUAGAAGGAAGCGUACAUCAGAUGUAUGGGAUGAUUUUAAGAUACAACUAAUCAAUGGGAAAUGGCAGGCAAUAUGCAACUGGUGUCAUAAGCCAUAUGCUGCAGAAUCAACCUCUGGUACGUCACACUUAAGGACACAUCAUAAUAAUUGUCCGGCUCGGCAUGCACCAGUGGGUCCACAACAAAGCAAACUAAAGUUGUCAAAAUGUGGGGAUGGGACAGUAAAUUUGGAGACCUAUAUUUUUGAUCAAGAACUUGCUAGGAAGGAACUUGCAUUAAUGAUAUGUGUGCAUGAGUACCCUCUGUCUAUUGUUGAUCAUGCUGGAUUCCGAAAAUUUUGUGGUACUUUGCAACCAAUGUUCAAGGUGGUGUCUAGAAAUACCAUUAGGCAGGACAUUAUAAAUAUGUUUGGAGUCCAAAAGAAUAGCAUGGUGAAGUACUUUGCAAAGUUUGAGAACCGAGUAGCCAUCACAAUGGAUUUGUGGACGGCUGGCCAUCAAAAGAGGGGCUAUAUGGCUGUAACUGCACAUUAUAUUGAUGCUUCUUGGAACCUAAAGAGCUUCCUAAUGAGGUAA
This 642-nucleotide ribosomal RNA is filed under the name Triticum aestivum (bread wheat). RNAcentral describes it as "partial small subunit ribosomal RNA". Lineage: Eukaryota; Viridiplantae; Streptophyta; Magnoliopsida; Poales; Poaceae. The record is from RNAcentral.